This 1673-nucleotide long non-coding RNA is filed under the name Cinara cedri. The record is from RNAcentral. Lineage: Eukaryota; Metazoa; Arthropoda; Insecta; Hemiptera; Aphididae.
GCGUAAACAAAUUUUCCGCGUUUUGUUCCCUUGACGACCCAAUAAAUAUUAUUGUUAAAAAUAUCGAAUGUUUGAUCGGCGGCACAUAAUAUUAAUAAACGAUUUUUAUGUAGAUACACAUAUGAUUGACUUUUUUACCUAUACUAGACUUUUUCGGAAUCAAAAUAUGAAAUCGAUAAAAUGUCUCUACCAUAUAGGCCAUUAAACGGUGUAGAAUGAACGAUUAAUAUUCUGAGUUAAUUAAUUUUUUUUUUUUUAAUUCCACCCGGAUUAAUGAUUAGGUAUAGCCGAACUGCAGUUCGAUCUAACACGAGUAAUGGCCGUCAAGAUCGGAUGGCCUCGGAUCGUCAAGAAAGGCGUUUCAACUAAAACGUUUUCAAAAAUUUAAUAUCGAUUCAAACAUUUUAUAAACACUAAUUUUCCUUCCUACUGAAAAUUUAAUAAUUGACAUGGUUGAAUAACGCCCAUGAGCAGCAAAACUCCGCCACUAAAGCCACUUAUCCCCGUUACAUAAUAAUGUAAUUUCUUUUCAUAAGGAUUCAGGUACUUAGGUCCGCAAUAGUUUUAUUAUAUAUUAGUCUGAAAGGGUAUGAAAAGUCAAGUAUUUUCUGUGAGAACAUGCAAUUUUUCUCUUCAACUACCGCUUGUCUGUUUUUUAUCCGUUGUUCCUACUGUUUAGAAGGUCUUUAGAUGAAGGUACGUUACCUAAAAUCUGAAAAAUCUGUUCUGUAACAUCUAUUUUGAAACCCGGUGAUAAUUCUGAUAUCACUUAUUAUAGAUAGAUAUCCAUAAUCUCAUAAAAUGCCAAGAUAUUUGUAUCUGUCCUCUAUCAGAGCAUUAUACGUAGCCUUUAUCAUAUAUUGAUUGAUGAGCAGCAUGGAUUCAGGCCAGGUAAAUCUACUUGCAUUAAUAGUGUUUCCUUUAUAUCUUACAUUGUUGAAAAUAUCCAGUUUGGUUCUCAAAUAGACGUUAUAAUCGCCGAUUUCAAAAAGACAUUUGAUACGGUCAACCACGAGCUACUUAUUUAUGAAUGAGAGCGUCUUGGGUACCCAUGAAAAUGAAAAUGCUUAUGCAUAUCACGAGGAUAGAGGGAUCAACAAAAACUGUAAUGAAAUAAACGUAGGAGGAAUGAGAAAAAUAAAAAAAACCUAAAAAAAAGACGGUUGGGUAUGUUUGAGAAAUAUAUGGGGACACCUAAGGACAGUCUGUGUUUGCGAGGUGAAAUAUCGGGUCAAGUAGAAGUUUAGAACGAUGGACACCAAAUAGUUGAAAUGAAGACGAAGACUUGAAGAAGAAUGAUUAAUGGUUGUUUUCAGUAUACUAUGUACUUAAUUACCAUCUGUCCCAAUUAGCGUCUCAAAUUCCCAUCUAUAAGAGUUGACUUUACCGUGGUGCGAAGUAUGUAAACAAAAAUAAUAAUAAUAAAAUAUUAUGACGAAGUACGGUCAAUUUUGAAUAUCUCGGACUCUUUAGAUAUUUUCAGGAUGCGCAUUUUAUAUCAGUUACAGUGUAAAGUAUAAUGAUCAAACAAAAUUUUUAGUAUUCGGUUCAACGCGUCAAUUGUUAUUAUCGGCAUCUCGUCAUAUAUAAUAUUAUUUAAUAUCCUUUAGAAAAAAUAACGAUAGGUUAGACGUCAAAGAUAGCUGCAUAGUUUAGAUAGUAUGCGAUUAAGG